RNAcentral lists this transfer RNA (72 nucleotides) under Pseudomonadota bacterium. Its description in RNAcentral is "tRNA-Ala". It matches the Rfam family "tRNA". From Rfam's summary of the family: Transfer RNA (tRNA) molecules are approximately 80 nucleotides in length. Their secondary structure includes four short double-helical elements and three loops (D, anti-codon, and T loops). The record is from RNAcentral. Lineage: Bacteria; Pseudomonadati; Pseudomonadota. RNAcentral also lists the same sequence under 1 other name.
GGGGCUGUAGCUCAGGGGGAGAGCAUCUCGUUCGCAACGAGGGGGUCGAGGGUUCAAAUCCCUCCAGCUCCA